RNAcentral lists this long non-coding RNA (861 nucleotides) under Homo sapiens (human). RNAcentral describes it as "HSALNT0320643". Lineage: Eukaryota; Metazoa; Chordata; Mammalia; Primates; Hominidae. The record is from RNAcentral.
AGACAGUCGCGCGGGGACCAUCGAGAACAAGGAGUGCUGUUUCGAAGUAGCGGCUAGAGGGGCCCCCUGCCUCCGCCCCCGCCCUUCCGAGGAUUCCUGGAGUCCACUCACCCCUCCCCACCACUCCAGUAGCGGCGGGAGCAGCAGCGUUAGGCCGGGGUGUGGCUGCACCUCUGCGAAGGCUGUCGUGCCCCGUGCAGCUGCGGCGUUCGGGUGGGGGAGGGGAGGCUCACACCCUGCGGCGGCUUAAGCCUGGAUUUACGCACUGGAGGAGGGAAUUAGCCCUGAGAUGUCAGCCCUGUGCCCCUGGCGCUGUCCACCCGGACGCCCGCGGAGCGCCAGGCGCCGCAGCGGACCGCGCGCGCACUGAUUGCCGCAGCUACUCUCCCUGCCGUCGCCGCCCGGGACCGGGUGACAUUGAGGUUUUCGUCUAUCGCCGCUGGGCCGAUAGGGCUUCUUUUUAAGAUUUGGCUUUCCAAGUAAGAUUUUUGUUUGCCUGCUUUUCUCCUGGAAUUUUUUUGUUUUUGGUCGAAGAAGCAGGUAACUUGCAUAUCUUAAGGAAAACAUUGUUUUUGCUUUGCUUUUGUUGUUUAAAGAUCCUAAAACGUACCGUGAUUCCUUUACGUUACUAAUAAUUGGAAAGUGUGUUAAAUCAAGGGUUCGCUUAAUGUUCUUUAGCCUUUGUACAUAGAAUAUAUAAAUGUCGUGAGUCAUCUUUACGAGGUUUAUGAGUUUGUGUUCGGGUUUGGCUUUUUUGUUGUGUGUGCGUGGUUUUUUUUUUUCUUUUCUUGUAACACCGUUAGGCGUUUCAUUAAGGUGUAUAAAAAGUAAUUUUAUACACCUAUUAAAAAUUCCCGCUGC